Molecule: long non-coding RNA, 1014 nt
Organism: Manis pentadactyla (Chinese pangolin)
Lineage: Eukaryota; Metazoa; Chordata; Mammalia; Pholidota; Manidae
Exons: 4
Source: RefSeq, a predicted model, not a curated record
UACUUUUCAUCAGAGAACAAUGAAUAAAAUUAAAUCUAACCCAGCCCAACUGGAGCCCAAUCAUGCACAGGUAGAGAUUCCCUUUUUGGUCAUAGCUAUUCCCUCUCCAUGAACAUAAUGAAAAAUCAUAUUUCUAGUUGUUACAGAUACAUACAUAAAUAUUGGUAAAAACUUGUAAUACAUCAAUGCUUUUAUCACAUUGCUGGGUUUCAUCAUAUUUUUAGAACCCAGUUUUACCUGAGAGUAAUGCCCUAUGCCCAAGUGGCUGUUGGGAGCCAUCCUCGCUUACACAAUGCUGAGGCCACCACGCUUCUGCAGGGCAUGGAUAGCACUGGGGCUAAUGCCUGAUGUGUAAUUACUAUAUCUAUAAAAGACCAAGGGUUUCUCGGAGCUGCUCUAGUAAAAUGCCCUGCCAACUCUGCCUUUCUUUUCAUGUAAAGGUCAACCACAGCCUGUCUGUUGCUCCAGCUAAACAUCUGCCUGAAACGGUCACUGUGCUCAUGUGUGCAUGGAACUCUGAGUGAAGUCCAGAAGGCUCCUCCUGAAAGUGUACCCCAUACAUGCUGUUUUUCUAAUCUAAGAAGUGCACAUCUGUCAUCAGUGUGAUUUGUAGUAAAGAUUACGUUUGAUUGAAAUAUCAAGUUACUGUAAUGCAACAUGAAGAUAAAUGAAGAUCUGCAUUUAAAUCUCUUUGGGUGUUUUUGAAAGACAGCUGCCAUGGACUGAAUUCAGAGAACUCAGGACGAAUGUACUGUUAUUGGAGGAGCUGUGAUUUUUUAGAGUGUUAACCAUCUGAGUUGAAGACCCACUGUGAUACAUGUGCGUGCACAGAUCAGAGGAACUUUCAGGUUUUGGAGGGUGUGAAGAACAAGAACCAAACAAUGUUGUAAGGCUGAGGAAAUGCUGAACGCUUGGAAGUAUUACAGAGUGGAGAAUUUACUCUCAAGCUAUCCUUUAAACUUAGUGUAUUUUUGUUGUUCAGAAAAUCGGCAAAAGGAGGAUCGCACUUAUUGG